GUAAGUUGGAGGCUGUCCGACUUGGAGUUUUCUCGUGGGCCCAGUGUCUAACCUGGGACGCCUGACUCCAGGGUUUGGCCACAGGAUGCAGCCGUCAUUGAUGUUACCUAUUCAUUCGUUCGAUAAAUAUUUAUAUGAUCAUCAAAUAAGUGCUAGCCGUUGGGAGGAGGUGCAAAUAUGGGAAUAUAUGGUCUUGAACAGCAGGAAAUGACGAUUCUCUGAUUGGAAAGUCUAGCCACCUGGGACAUGAGAGACGUGAAAAUUCAGACUUAAAGACUGCACAUUUGCCUUUGAUCAUCUUACAGGGAUUGUAACUUCUUUUGCUCCAGAAUUAAAUCCUCAACAGAAGAAGAGUUUCUUUCUUCCUAAGAAUUGUGUCUAGUCCUGAGUCACCUGCUGGAGCCAGAGAUGGAUCACACCAUGUGAACCGCGUGAGCUGAGAAUAGGAAGGAAUGAUUCCCAAGGGGAAAUCGAGAGCUGUUGCCAAAAGAAGGGGAAUGGAUGCUGGUGAGAGGGGCAUAAGCGCACACUGUAUACUACAGCACAUGUGUUGAUACUGAAAAGGUGAUCUGCUGUAACCAUGGGGACUUGGUGUAACCCCUUUUCAUGAUGAUUAUUCUCUCAUGCACCAUAUUUCCUACAACAAAUGGCUGUAUUUUUUUCUUUUAAUUUUGAAAAGAAUAAAAAAGGAAAAUGCAAAGAACAAUACAACCAUCACCCAAGGCCCCUCUACCUAGAAUUCGUAAAUGUUAACAUUUUGCCACUUUUGCCGCAGAUUUACAUAAAUGUUUGUAUGAGAAAAUCUUACAUAUAUGCAAAAUGAAGUUG
This 828-nucleotide long non-coding RNA is filed under the name Equus asinus (donkey). RNAcentral describes it as "lncRNA (ENSEASG00005034967.1)". The record is from RNAcentral. Lineage: Eukaryota; Metazoa; Chordata; Mammalia; Perissodactyla; Equidae.